GGUACAUCGCCUCGGUGCAGGGCUCC
This 26-nucleotide non-coding RNA is filed under the name Cricetulus griseus (Chinese hamster). The record is from RNAcentral. Lineage: Eukaryota; Metazoa; Chordata; Mammalia; Rodentia; Cricetidae.